This 258-nucleotide ribosomal RNA is filed under the name uncultured bacterium. RNAcentral describes it as "partial 16S ribosomal RNA". It matches the Rfam family "Bacterial small subunit ribosomal RNA", at positions 524 to 776 of the family's 1533-position model. The record is from RNAcentral.
UACGAAGGGGGCUAGCGUUGUUCGGAAUUACUGGGCGUAAAGGGCGCGUAGGCGGUCGUGACAAGUCACUUGUGAAAUCUCCGGGCUUAACUCGGAACGGUCAAGUGAUACUGUCGGACUAGAGUACAGAAGGGGCAACUGGAAUUCUCGGUGUAGCGGUGAAAUGCGUAGAUAUCGAAGAGGAACACCUGGCGGCGAAGGCGGGUUGCUGGGCUGACACUGACGCUGGAGGCGCGAAAGCCUAGGGGAGCAAACAGG